CUCAGGAGCAAUUAUCUACUUAAUGAAAACCUUCUGUCUUCAUCAGACUCAUUGGCGACACCAAGAGCCCAAACACUUUUUGAGGACUUUGGGGAAAGCAGGAAGGCCGGACAGCAGUACCUACAGGGGCCAAUGGAUCCAAGGAGAAGGCCCAGCGAAAGGAAGGACCCAGCAGCUCCCCCUUGCCAGCGCUGGAGACCCUGGCUCUGGGGCCCAGUCCCAGCCCUAGUCCAGCAGCGACGGACAGUGCAUCAGUCAAGGGCACUGCUCACCUCCCUCCGGACCCAACCGCCAUGAAGGCCAAAGCCGAGCCCCCAUGCAGGCCAGCUCACGUCCCAUUCUGCCAUGUCUCGGGCUGGAGCGAAUUGUAUUGAUAGAAAAUAAAAUGUCGACAUAAAAAAGAAU
RNAcentral lists this long non-coding RNA (405 nucleotides) under Homo sapiens (human). Its description in RNAcentral is "HSALNT0269897". Lineage: Eukaryota; Metazoa; Chordata; Mammalia; Primates; Hominidae. The record is from RNAcentral.